AUUGAACGCUGGCGGCAUGCCUUACACAUGCAAGUCGAACGGCAGCGGACCUUCGGGUGCCGGCGAGUGGCGAACGGGUGAGUAAUAUAUCGGAACGUGCCUUUCAGUGGGGGAUAACGUAGCGAAAGUUACGCUAAUACCGCAUAUUCUGUGAGCAGGAAAGCAGGGGAUCGCAAGACCUUGCGCUGAUUGAGCGGCCGAUAUCAGAUUAGCUAGUUGGUGAGGUAAAGGCUCACCAAGGCGACGAUCUGUAGCGGGUCUGAGAGGAUGAUCCGCCACACUGGAACUGAGACACGGUCCAGACUCCUACGGGAGGCAGCAGUGGGGAAUUUUGGACAAUGGGCGCAAGCCUGAUCCAGCCAUGCCGCGUGAGUGAAGAAGGCCUCGGUUGUAAG
Molecule: ribosomal RNA, 395 nt
Filed under: uncultured bacterium
Lineage: Bacteria
Description: bacterial SSU rRNA
Rfam family: Bacterial small subunit ribosomal RNA
Source: RNAcentral